CCAUACAUGAAUUCUACAGGGAAUGGAUCCGGUUCUAAUCCGAGUACAAAACGUACUCGUCUGCAAACUUCCAAUCAAGAAUGCCAAAAUUCUGUAGCAGAUGGACUGAAUUCUAGUAGUACUGUUGUCACCACAGAACGAACUACUACUGGGUAUACCUAAACUACAAACUCGAAUGACAAGGAUUAGAGUUAGUGCACGUCUU
Molecule: long non-coding RNA, 205 nt
Organism: Asparagus officinalis (garden asparagus)
Lineage: Eukaryota; Viridiplantae; Streptophyta; Magnoliopsida; Asparagales; Asparagaceae
Exons: 3
Source: RefSeq, a predicted model, not a curated record